CAUUACCGAAUUCCAAGGGGGAUUCAUUAGGAUGAUGGUAGUCUAGCGGCUGUAAUGGCCCUAAACUCGGGAAUGCGAGGCGGUUGCUCUCAGCGGAAAACUGUCCAUUAGUGCGCUGGUUCAAGACUGUCCCCUCCAGAAAACUUGGUAGUCAAUUGUCCUUCGACACGCAAGUGUUGUCUGGACUUGGAAUAAUCGGUCCUUGACUGGUCAGGGAAGCAAUUCCGCAUCCAGCAGGACCUACCGAGUUAGUCGUAGGAGAUCGGGGCAUGUCGUCGGCCGCGCUGUGGAUCGCGCCUCUCGCAAACCCUACCUCUCCGAAGUGUCCUGUACCCUAAUCCAAACACCUGUGUGCACCCGUUGUAGGUCCUAGGACCUAUGUUAUUCCUUUGUAAACCCUUGCAUGUAUACAGAACGUUGUCCACAGAAAUAAAUAAAAUAUGAUAACUUUCAGCAACGGAUCUCUUGGCUCUCGCAUCGAUGAAGAACGCAGCGAAUCGCGAUAAGUAAUGUGAAUUGCAGAUUUUCCGUGAAUCAUCGAAUCUUUGAACGCACCUUGCGCUCCUCGGUAUUCCAAGGAGCAUGCCUGUUUGAGUGUCAUUGAAAUCUCAAAACCCUAGCUUCGCUCUGUCGGAGUCCGGUUUUGGACUUUGGGAGUGUGUCGGCGACCCUCUGCUUCGGGAUGUCGGCUCUCCUCAAAUGCAUUAGCGGUGGGCUUGAGUCUUUGCAUGGCACGGCCUGUUCGACGUCGUAGUGAUCGUCGCGGGCUGGAAGUGCUCGGCUCGGGAAUCGACUUGUCUCAUGCUUCCAACUUCGGGGGGUCGGGUCGGGUCGGGUGCUGCAACUCGGCCGGGGUUUGGCCCCCUUUGAAUGCUUGACCUCAAAUCAGGUAGGACUACCCGCUGAACUUAAGCAUAUC
RNAcentral lists this small RNA (919 nucleotides) under Astraeus sp. GAPK3. Its description in RNAcentral is "eukaryotic LSU rRNA". The stretch from base 446 to 600 matches the Rfam family "5.8S ribosomal RNA". The record is from RNAcentral. Lineage: Eukaryota; Fungi; Basidiomycota; Agaricomycetes; Boletales; Astraeaceae.